GCAAUGAUGGUUCAGUGGUAGAAAUUUUGCCUUCCAUGCAGGAGACCUGGGUUUGAUUCCUAGCCAGUGCA
RNAcentral lists this transfer RNA (71 nucleotides) under Loxodonta africana (African savanna elephant). It matches the Rfam family "tRNA". From Rfam's summary of the family: Transfer RNA (tRNA) molecules are approximately 80 nucleotides in length. Their secondary structure includes four short double-helical elements and three loops (D, anti-codon, and T loops). Lineage: Eukaryota; Metazoa; Chordata; Mammalia; Proboscidea; Elephantidae. The record is from Rfam by way of RNAcentral.